This 70-nucleotide transfer RNA is filed under the name Phrynocephalus erythrurus parva. RNAcentral describes it as "tRNA-Phe". The record is from RNAcentral. Lineage: Eukaryota; Metazoa; Chordata; Lepidosauria; Squamata; Agamidae.
GUAUUAUGUAGCUUAACAACAAAGCAUAGUGCUGAAGCCACUAUUAUGCCUGAUGAUAUUGUAUAUAUAU